RNAcentral lists this ribosomal RNA (460 nucleotides) under uncultured bacterium. RNAcentral describes it as "partial 16S ribosomal RNA". It matches the Rfam family "Bacterial small subunit ribosomal RNA", at positions 338 to 795 of the family's 1533-position model. The record is from RNAcentral.
CCUACGGGAGGCAGCAGUGAGGAAUAUUGGUCAAUGGACGUAAGCCUGAACCAGCCAAGUCGCGUGAAGGAAGACGGCUCUAUGGGUUGUAAACUUCUUUUGUACGUGGGUAAAGCCCGCUACGUGUAGCGGGUCGCAAGUAACCUACGAAUAAGGCACGGCUAACUCCGUUCCAGCAGCCGCGGUAAUACGGAGGAUUCAAGCGUUAUCCGGAUUUAUUGGGGUUAAAGGGUGCGUAGGUGGUUAUGUAAGUUAACGGUGAAAUUCUGGGGCUCAACCCUGGCACUGCCGUUGAAACUGUCGGACUUGAGUGUGCUAGAGGUAGGCGGAAUGCGUGGUGUAGCGGUGAAAUGCAUAGAGAUCAUGCAGAACUCCGAUUGCGAAGGCAGCAUACCAGGCUACAACUGACGCUGAAGCACGAAAGCGUGGGGAUCAAACAGGAUUAGAUACCCGGGUAGUC